GACGAACGCUGGCGGCGUGCUUAACACAUGCAAGUCGAACGGAAAGGCCCUGCUUUUGUGGGGUUCUCGAGUGGCGAACGGGUGAGUAACACGUGAGUAACCUGCCCUUGACUUUGGGAUAACUUCAGGAAACUGGGGCUAAUACCGGAUAGGAGCUCCUGCUGCAUGGUGGGGGUUGGAAAGUUUCGGCGGUUGGGGAUGGACUCGCGGCUUAUCAGCUUGUUGGUUGGGUAGUGGCUUACCAAGGCUUUGACGGGUAGCCGGCCUGAGAGGUUAACCGGCCACAUUGGGACUGAGAUACGGCCCAGACUCCUACGGGAGGCAGCAGUGGGGAAUAUUGCCCAAUGGGCGGAAGCCUGAUGCAGCAACGCCGCGUGCGGGAUGACGGCCUUCGGGUUGUAAACCGCUUUCGCCUGUGACGAAGCGUGAGUGACGGUAAUGGGUAAAGAAGCACCGGCUAACUACGUG
This 468-nucleotide ribosomal RNA is filed under the name uncultured bacterium. RNAcentral's name for it is "partial 16S ribosomal RNA". It matches the Rfam family "Bacterial small subunit ribosomal RNA", at positions 28 to 507 of the family's 1533-position model. The record is from RNAcentral.